GAUGAACGCUGGCGGCGUGCCUAAUACAUGCAAGUCGAGCGAACAGACGAGGAGCUUGCUCCUCUGACGUUAGCGGCGGACGGGUGAGUAACACGUGGAUAACCUACCUAUAAGACUGGGAUAACUUCGGGAAACCGGAGCUAAUACCGGAUAAUAUAUUGAACCGCAUGGUUCAAUAGUGAAAGACGGUUUUGCUGUCACUUAUAGAUGGAUCCGCGCCGCAUUAGCUAGUUGGUAAGGUAACGGCUUACCAAGGCAACGAUGCGUAGCCGUCCUGAGAGGGUGAUCGGCCACACUGGAACUGAGACACGGUCCAGACUCCUACGGGAGGCAGCAGUAGGGAAUCUUCCGCAAUGGGCGAAAGCCUGACGGAGCAACGCCGCGUGAGUGACGAAGGUCUUCGGAUCGUAAAACUCUGUUAUUAGGGAAGAACAAAUGUGUAAGUAACUAUGCACGUCUUGACGGUACCUAAUCAGAAAGCCACGGCUAACUACGUG
RNAcentral lists this ribosomal RNA (497 nucleotides) under uncultured bacterium. RNAcentral describes it as "partial 16S ribosomal RNA". It matches the Rfam family "Bacterial small subunit ribosomal RNA", at positions 28 to 507 of the family's 1533-position model. The record is from RNAcentral.